RNAcentral lists this ribosomal RNA (459 nucleotides) under uncultured bacterium. RNAcentral describes it as "partial 16S ribosomal RNA". It matches the Rfam family "Bacterial small subunit ribosomal RNA", at positions 338 to 795 of the family's 1533-position model. The record is from RNAcentral.
CCUACGGGAGGCUGCAGUGAGGAAUAUUGGUCAAUGGCCGAGAGGCUGAACCAGCCAAGUCGCGUGAGGGAAGAAUGUCCUAUGGAUUGUAAACCUCUUUUGUCAGGGAGCAAAGUCACCCACGUGUGGGUGUUUGAGAGUACCUUAAGAAAAAGCAUCGGCUAACUCCGUGCCAGCAGCCGCGGUAAUACGGAGGAUGCGAGCGUUAUCCGGAUUUAUUGGGGUUAAAGGGUGCGUGGGGGGGUUAUCAAGUCAGCGGUAAAAUCGUGGAGCUCAACUCCAUCCAGCCGUUGAAACUGAUGAUCUUGAGUGGGCGAGAGGUAUGCGGAAUUCGUGGUGUAGCGGUGAAAUGCGUAGAUAUCACGCAGAACUCCGAUUGCGAAGGCAGCAUACCGGCGCCCGACUGACGCUGAAGCGCGAAAGCGUGGGUAGCGAACAGGAUUAGAUACCCGUGUAGUC